CACUUUGAUUUGUUUCUAUAAAACAUAUUUCGGGUUCAGUCAUGCCGCAUGAGAAAUACAUUUAGCUUCCCCUUCAGAAGUGAGUUGUCUUGCAUUAUGUAUUUCUAUUGUGAUACUUUAAAGAUCCCAGGAAGAAUUUUUUUGUGUUGUCUGCGAGUUUCCAAUAAACAUUUAGUUUAGUAACUUGUGAGGUCUUUAUUAGAACAAAACAAACAAAUAGACCCAAUUUACCAAUAGAUAAAUAUACAUUUGAAAUCAAAAGGUCAACAAAUAGAUCCAAAAAAUCUCAGGUAAAGGUAAAAAAAAAAGUUGGAUCUAGUAACUAAACUGACACAAAACAUACAAGAACAGGCUCCACCUACUGACAUGGAGACUAUAAAGCUGCUGUAUCAGCGGACGAUCAGCAGCUAAUCCGUGUUCAAAAUGAGAGGCCUAACAUUGCUCUGUCUGUGGGGAUUAUUUCUCACAGCAUCAACUGUGUGGCCACCAGGAGGUCAAACGCCCAUGAGCGGCCCCUUGUUUCUUAACAUCACAGCCAACACAUCAACGGAACAAGUGGAGCGCAGUUCAAAUAAUACAAGUUCAGAGGCGACAGCUACUGCACUGCCAGUUGAAAGUACUCAUGAGUUAACACCGCCUAAGGAUGGAGAGGACAGCCAGUUGCCUAAAGAACACCCGGUGCAGAACUUACAAGAAAAAAAAGCACAAAAGAAACCUACCCGGCGCAAUGGACGUUGGCACCCUCUUGUUAGCAACGUGGGUUUCCCUGCGAGCCCAGAAGACGGAGAAAAUACGAAGCCGUAA
Molecule: long non-coding RNA, 804 nt
Organism: Gasterosteus aculeatus (three-spined stickleback)
Lineage: Eukaryota; Metazoa; Chordata; Actinopteri; Perciformes; Gasterosteidae
Source: Ensembl